Vicia villosa (hairy vetch) is the source of this 6258-nucleotide long non-coding RNA. RefSeq lists it as uncharacterized. The record is from RefSeq and is a predicted model, not a curated record. NCBI's taxonomy places the organism in Eukaryota, Viridiplantae, Streptophyta, Magnoliopsida, Fabales, Fabaceae. The transcript is spliced from 3 exons.
UCUUCGUUCUUCUUCUUCGUUCUUCAUUUUUUCACUUUCAAACCACCAUUUUCGGACCACUUCAAACACUAACCUCACAGGUUCUCAUAACAUGAAUCUCUCUAAUAGCAACCUCACACUCCAAAUCAUUGUCAAUCAUAGUCAAAACCUUUCGAUUAGCAACCUCAGAUUCCGAUUCUAUGGCGUUUUUCGUCCAAACCUUUCUAAUGGCGUUUUUCGAUUCAAUCGCUCAUCGGAUAUAACAACACAAUUACCAUUCGAGGCCGGCGACAUUCGUAUUGAAGACAUAGUUGCUAAGUUACAUUUGACAAGUUGAAGAUUGGGGUUGUAGAUAAGCUUCACCAAGGACUCUUGGAGAUGGUUUGUCUAGUUACUUCCUGAUGACAUUGGUGGUGAGAGUAGGUGGCGCUUCAUAUCUGAUCAGCAAAAGGGAAUAGUGUAAGUAUUUGAGGAAUAAUGUACUGAUAUUGAGCACGGAAUUUUGUCUAAUGCAUUUUAUGCUAACUUCAAGAAGGUACAGUCUUCAGAGUAGUCUAAAAUUGUGGUAAGUGAUUGUGGAGUUUAAUUGUGUUUAAAUAUAGUCUAAAAUUGUGUUUAAAAUCAGUCUAAAAUUUUAUAUAGUAUUAUUUUGUAAAAAGUAUGAAUUGAAUAUUUGAUGAUCACGGUGAGCUUAUGAUUUUGAUUUGAUGAUACAAUGUGGUUUUGUUGCAUUUUGAAAUAGCAUAUAUGAGUCCCCAUAGUGUUGAAUAGAGGUGAAGUUAACUUGAAACCGCUCAAGUCAGAUGUUAGUUCAAUUCAGUUGCGCAUGGCCAGAUAACACAGGUAUGUGAAAUCUAGAUGUGAAAAUCAUUAUUUUUGUGAUUUGGUGUGUAUCUGUCAUAUACUGGAGUGAAAGAGUUCGUUAUUGAUUCAACUGAAUUCUCUAACCAUAUAUGUUUGGCAUUCUUUUUGUAUAUAUAGUGGCUGCAGUGACUAACGGCCAAUCCAUUAAGCUAUAUAAACUAUUAGGUUCAAACACAUAAGCAACAAUAUUUUAAAACUGUAACUGUGAUAAGCUGAAAUAAUGCAACUGGAUUUGAUGUUUUAAAAAUCCAAAACUCAAAAUCAUAUAGUAAACAUUUAUCGCAUAAGCCAAAACAGCCACUCCAACUACAAAUAAGCCUACUAAUCAUGUCUAUGAAACAAAGUUUAAAAACUUCAACUGUUAAACAUUAACCAAUGUCGAUGCUUUCACAAGGAUUAUCCCAACGAUGUUUAAAAUGCCUUAUGAAGCUUUUCUUGAUUAUUCCAAUAAGCCUUUGACUUUGACACCACUUCAUCGAGCAACACAUUAUUGGCUGAAUGUACCAAAAAUAGCGCUAGUUUCAUUCUCGUCGAUGUCGAAACCUAUAUAUAAUUAUGAAUAUUUAGGAUAAUUAGAAAUAUAACUACAAGAGAAAUUAUUAAAUUAAUCAUUUUCACAUGAAUUCAACUUAUAGUCAUAUCAUCUAAAUACCACCAGUGUAAGCAACACUCAAUCAUCCAUUUACAGACCCAAACUCCACAAUCAUUUACGCGUUCAAUCAGUAAGUGCAUUAGAGACACAUAAUAGGUAAUACUAUCAAUCGAAUAAAAAAUAGUAAUAUAUGAGAGUACUUACGAUUCGGGUAGUUGUUGAAGGCGUGUCGGUUGACAUAUGCUGAAUGUUGUUAUUAAAUUUUUUGGACAAGGUGAUUUCGAGCCACAAAAGAAUUCAUGCAUCAGAAUUUCCUCAAGAAAUAUGGCCUGCCACAUAGUACAAACCAAAGUUAAAAAAAGCUAAAUUGAUUGGACAGUAUAAAAACCAAUUCGCACACACAUGUGCAUACCAAUUUUCUAAUUAAUCUGUGUUUGAUAUAAUGUAUUUCAGGACAAUCCCAUGAGUCCAACCAAACCAAUUUUCCCCCCUCAAAGUCAACUACAAUUAGAAACCAGUGCACUCCAUCGCCGUUUAUGGGAAUAAAAAUCUGCAAAAACGUAAUAUUAAGUUGUAGUAAGAAUUUGUAUAUGUGCCAACUGUUUUCGCAACAAAGUGACAUACAACUAACCUUACCAAUCCAUUAUUUUGGUCUCAAUAUGUGAGGUUGGUAUAUAUUCCUCACAUAUUCAGCAGUAUGAUUUCCGCUCAAGGCAUAUUGCUGCAAUUAGAAUAAGUGUAUCUUAAGUCAACAAUUCAUACUGAAGGAAUAUACAUUUGACAUUACUAUUAGUAGCAGUACUCACCACAAACUCAGUGGGAAGAUACCAAGAGGACUAGUUUCUUACCGCAUUAUUUAUGAACCAGUUUUGUCUUACAGCAACAAGAUUGCUAAUCUGUAUAGUAAAAUGAAGAUGAUAUUAACAAAAUUAUACAUUAACGGGAUAAAUUAUACUCAUAAUCAUAUUAACAAUAACCUCUUGAUCCAUAGGGCAUUCUGGCAUCAGUGUAUUCAAAGCUUUCCUAUUUACGUAUACACCUGAAGUUGUUUUGACCAAAACCUCCUCACUACAGAGAAAAUAGAUAUAAUCAUCAAAAUAACUAUGAAAAAUAAACUUACUAUUAGGUUUUAGCACGUGUAUUAAAAAUAAAUACCCGUUCAGUUUUUCUUCGUCGCGCAUAAAGAUGUACGCGACUGUGUAAGAACAAAUGUCAUUUAGAUGGGUGCAUUGAGGUGGUCUAGAUGUGAUUGGCUUCCACUGUCAUUAAUUACACAUGAAACAAAAAAUGCUGUCACAAUAAAUUAUAUAGUAUCGUGUAGUAUUAGGAUUUAUUGAAAAUAAAUAAUGAAUACUUAUGUUAGGAAUUGUAGUAAGAGCAUGAACACCUUCAUAUCCAACAAAAUCACCUAAAUGACAGUUGAUGUAAAAGUCAUCAUCAUCGGGUUCAUUAUCGUUGGGUUCCUCAUCUUGACUGAAAAACGUCUUUUGAAUCUUUUGUAAUUUCCCGUCAUUUAUAUUUCUCUUACCCCCAUCCUUUUGUUGUUUUUCGGGGGAGCCGAGGUUGUGCCCAUAGUCGCUCUACUUUUAUACUUUGUGGCUUUCCUUUCAGUUGCCGCAAAAUUCUUAGUGGUACGCUUUAGAUGUAUUGCUUUGUUUUUUUAGACAAGGAUGUAUUUAUUUUUUGAACAAGGAUGUAAUUUAGUUUUUGGAAGUGUUAUGUGAUUGUAUUUCUUGUUGAACCAGUGUUAUGUGAUGUACUAAUGGUUAGGUUUUUAUGAACUUCUUGUAUUUCUUGUUGUCCAAGUUAUAUGUUAAACAAGUGUUAUGUUAAACAAGUGUUACGUUAAACAAGUGUUAUGUUAAAUGUUUUUUGUUAAAGGUUUAUGUUAAGCAAGUGUCGUGUUAAAGGUUUUCAUGUGAAGGUUAGUGAAGAAGUUUGAUCAAGGUUUUUAUGUAGUGUAUGUGAAACUUUGUUUGUCUAAAAACUUUGGUUAAGGUCUUUUUGUGUAAUUUUUUAUGUGAAACUUUGUUUGUCUAAAAGCUUUGGUUUUUAUGUGUUUGAAUAUGAAGGUUACUAUGAAAACUGUUUAAUGUUGUUUAUCUAAAAUCUAUUCAUUGCUUGAUUAAUUUAUAAAUCAAUUCUUCACAAGACCUUAACCAAAGUUUCAUCACAUAACUAUAUUAGAUCCUUUUUCACAAAUAGAAAUACAUCCUUGUCUAACAAAAUAAACAUCAUCCCAACAAUAAACCUCUUUAAAAAACAAACAUAACAUUGAAAACCAAACAUGUUCCAACAAAACAUAAUAUUCAUAAGAGCCAACAGUAUGGCCAAUAUUACAUAAUUUAUAUGGCUUAUGCAAGAUGAUUACAAUCUUUUUGUAUCAUUAAUCACAUCCACAAAAGCAUAGCCAUUACAAACUACAAGUCAAACAAAACAAAACACAACCAUAUUUCCACUUCUACAUAAAAACACAACAGCCACAAAUUACCACUCCCAGAGUCACUUAUCCAACAUCUUUCAUUUCACCAGAGCUGUAACAUCCCGAAAAUUCUUUUUUAAUUAAUUUAAUUAAGUUUUAAAUUAAUUAUUGGAAAUUAGCAUUUUAUCGAAUUAUGUGGAGAAAUUAUAAAAUGUAAGUCAUUGGGCCAUGUGGUGGAAUUAGUAAGGUGGGAGUGUAAUUGUGAAGGAGCCCAUUUCUAAUUUUGUAUUUUUCAUAAAAUAAGGAAAACAAGAGGAGAAAGAAAUUAGAACGUGAAAACAAGAAGUUGUGAGAAGAGGGAGAGCUGAAAACGUGAAGGAGAACCAAAGAGGAAGAAUACCCAUUCAAGAAUUUGGCUAAGGUAAGGGGGACUUAUCUGAUUAGCAUCUAUUAUCGGGUUAGGGGUUGAUAAUACUAAAUAGAUGUAGAAUUCGGGUCGAUUGAGUCAUACGAUAGAUUUAGGGAUUGAGUUAAAUUGUAUGAUGUUUGAUUCCCUAUGUUUGAAUCCAUGAUGUUUGUGUUGAUAUGGUCUCAAUUGAUGCGUAAUUGGUGUAUUAUGAUGUGUAUUUUCGUGUUGUAUGUGCAUUCCAUUUCCUUAGGUUCGUACUGGUAUGAAUUGAGUGAGUUUGGAAUGUGUAGAAUGUUGUGUUCUGCGAUUGGGGGUUUCUGAAAAUCGCCAGUUUGUGCCGCGUCCCAGGGUUGGCGCCGCGAACUGCCUGGCAGAAAGCCAGGAAGUUUUGAUGUAUUCAAUACGCGCCGCGAGAACAUGGUUGGGCCACGAAGGCGUACUCCUUUUCUCGUUUCGCGACGCGAGCAUAUGUUUGCGCCGCGAAGUACUUGGUAGAGGGCCAAGGAGUUUUGAGACGCUCAGUUCGCGCCGCGAACCAAGGUUGGCACCGCGUGCUGUUAGUGACAGACUAUUUUUGAAAAGUUUAAAGAUGCAUAACUUUUGAACCGCUGGUCCGUUUAGUGUGCCGUUUCGAGCUAAACGAACCUUAUAAAAUAAUCUAUUUGAUGAUUAAUGAUGUGAUUGUGAUUGAAUAAUGCACACACACACACACAUAUAUAUAUAUAUAUAUAUAUAUAUAUAUAUAUAUGUAAACAUGCUUGAUGAUGAUGAUGAUUAUGAUGAAAUGAGUAUUUGAUGAUGUUACUCAUUAGACUUGACGAUGGUAUAAGUAUGUUCAUGUAUGUUUGCAUUCAUUCAUAUUCAUUGAUGAUGCUGAAUCCAUGAUGAUGUGUUGGAUCAAUAAAGGGCAUGAUUCCCAUUGUGUGGAAUCUGUGCUGGCAGGGCCGUAUCUUGAUGAUGUUGGAUCGGUCAUGGGUUAUUCCCAUUUGAUGAUGUUGGUACCACAUGCAUAGUGUCAGUUCAUACAUAUGCAUACUUUUAUAACAUGAUUGGAUGUAUUCCAGUGUUAUAAAUAUUGAUGAUGGGUUGAUUGAUUGUUUGUGAUGAUGAAACUUGUCUGAAUGUCUGUUAUGAAACAAUUGGGUGAAUGAUGCAGCUAUGAUGUGUUAUUGCUUUAUAGUCUUAUAACAUUUGUUAAUUAUGAUGAGACUCACCCUUACAUGUUGUCAUUUUCAGAUUGAGGAUAACGGAUGUUCGACUCGGUGAGGAUUAGCUCAUGAGUCAGUUUUUUUUAGUUAGCGUCAGGUGUCAUGCUCUGAUAUUUGUAACACUGGGGACACGAUGUUUAGAGUUUAUGGUUUAUAACUCUGGUUAUGUUUUGAUGUGUGAAGGAUUAGUUUUAAAGAUGUUAAACUUAAUCCAUUUGAGUUAAUUUCUGCUGUGUUAACAUGAAAUAUUUUUAUUUGUUGAUGAAUGCCUCAGUGAAUACAUGACAUAACUGAACGAUGUUUAUUUUAUUAUGAAUUGUGGCACCCUUAUUUUCAUGUAUUCUGAAUAAACUUAUUAAUUGCCGCGGAGGUUUAGUAAGGGGUGUUACAAGAGCCACUGCAACCCUAUUCGAUGGAGGUUCGCGUACGGUAAACGCAAGCUUAUCACCUUUACGGAGGCCCUUGUGCUUCACAAAUUCGUACCAACUCUGCCCAAUGAACCUUUCAGCACAGUACUCCCUUUCUUUGAAAUGAAGUUUGCAUUCAUAGGUUUUCUGUGUAUCAGAAUCCAACAGCUGAAUACGAGUCUGACCAAAUGGGAAGCAAUUCUUUAUCACCUUUUGAGGGAAUUGCUACACGUAACAUACUAAAUGUUCUUUCACUAAACAGGAUUCGAAAUACAUUCCCAUACUUAUAUCAUUACAUGUAAAUGUUUAAAUACUUACAAAUACAUUCUUUGCUGCAGUCUUCCCAUCGUUGAUUUCCCUUUUCCAUACGUAGUACC